RNAcentral lists this ribosomal RNA (686 nucleotides) under uncultured bacterium. RNAcentral describes it as "partial 16S ribosomal RNA". The record is from RNAcentral.
AAGGGAGAGUGGGCGGAAGGAACCGAACCGGUAUCAUAAAAUAAGUAUAGUAAAGGAAAAUAAUAUAAUAUAAGAGUAGUUGUUUUAUGUCAGUUGCUUAAGAGGAGCAGUUGCAUCUCUUCCCGAUGGACCUGCGUUUUGUUAGCUAUUUGGUGGGUUAACGCACUCACCCACGCCAACAUACCUAGACGAACUGAGAGGGUGAUAGGGCGAUCUGGGACUGGGGGACUGACACACCGCCUAGACUCCUACGGUAUGGAGAAUCUUCUGCUCUUCAGCAAGGUCUGACCGACCAAAGCCACUUGAGUGAAGAAAGUUUUCAAAUAUUUCGGCUCGGUUGGCUGAGAUGAACGAGAAGAAUAAUGGAAUGUUCACUAUGCGACGGAAUCACAGCACAUAAGGACGGCUAACUACCUGCCUACGCCUCAGCUAAUACGGUGCUACGAGCGCUGUCCCGAUUUUUGGAAUUAUUGCGCGCGCAGGCCGCUAAAGUGGUCUAAAAAUACGGAUUGCGAAUCCACCAGAUUACCCUUUGAAAACUCAUUGGACUUGAGUGCAAGAGGAGAGAGUGAGAUUUCCAUGGGUAUCGAUAAUAUACCGUAGACAUAUGGAAGAACUUCGGGUGGGCAAACGCGGGGCCUAUGGCUGCGUAUCUGGACCUGGAAGGUUCCGAUUGAGUGCCGAAC